This 1491-nucleotide unclassified non-coding RNA is filed under the name Caenorhabditis elegans. RNAcentral's name for it is "Non-coding transcript of protein-coding gene enu-3.5". The record is from RNAcentral. Lineage: Eukaryota; Metazoa; Nematoda; Chromadorea; Rhabditida; Rhabditidae.
AUGCGUAUUUUGUGUAUUUUGUUUUCAUUGGUAAUCUUCGGAUUAAUAGUUCAUGUAUUGCCAACAACCACCACACCAAAUGUGCCUGUUUCCGCCGCUACGAACACUUCAAACGUGACCGCUCCUACAAAAAGUCCUAAUGCGACCGCUCCUGCCGGCAAUUCGACGAAAAAUGUAAACGUGACCGCUCCUGCCGCCAAUACGACGCAGCUUGCUCUUGUGAGCUCGGCGAGCCCUCAAACCUGCAAAAAUGGAAACGGCACACACUGCCCGUCAUGUGCAUACAUGAUCAAUGUUCACAAGGACACGCCGAAGUACAUCGGAUAUGGCAUCCUGAUCGCCUUCGUCAUUUUCCACAUUUUUUUGUAUUUCUACCUCGAGGAUCAGAAGGCGAGGGUAAGUGAAAUUUUGCCAGUGGCCUAGCUUUUUAUUGAUUUAAGUUAUAUUUAAUGAAAAGCGAAUUGCGUACUCCACGUGGACAACUUUCAACAUACGAAACCUUCUUUUCAGGAGCAGAAGAAGUAUUUUGAAGAGCUCAUCGCUGAGCAGAUGGCGGCUAGGAAGCGAGAAGAACAAGACGAUCAGCAGCACGAGGAUGAGGAGAAGGAACGCCGAGAGCGGUUGGCUUAUGGAAUUGCCGCGAAUCCGUAUGUGGUAGCAGAGAGCAAGACUCCCAAUGGAAACGUCACAAAAGUGAUGGAGAAACGACGAUCCGCGGUGGCCCCGCCCAUCACACCAGCCCUCGGAGCAGGCUCGACCAACGGACCAUACGAGAGUCGGACCAAGACCGCUCAAAAGGAAGAAGCAAUGAGCUGUCACUUGCAAGUGAUCGCCGACAAUUGGGGACGUGGAAAGGAGCUCAUUUCGCUCAUCAAUGAUUUGGAUCUCCCUGCGCCGCUGGUGACGACAGAGGAAAAGGCGCGGUACGCUUUGGAGCUCGUGCAACAUCAUGUGGAGAAAAUGACCGAGCAGAAGGUUUUCCUGCACGGAUAUCUUGAUGAUGGACCGCCGUUCGUUUGCUCAUCGGAGACCUUGGAGAAGGAGAUCUUCAGCGAUGCCCGUCUUGAGCUGAAGCUUGAAUUGACGUCACCGGUGCACAUGAAGAUGGACGUGUUCUCUGUGAAAUUGGAGCCACAACAGAAGACAGUGCUGCCAGAACCCACCAAGGAAACGCCGAAAACCGACGCUCUCCUCACACCGGGAUCUCAUAUUAAGGGAAGAUCAAUGGCGGCUGAAUCGUCGAAGCGCAAAGCCCCGAAGCUGUCCACUGAUUUGACGAACUUGGUCCCACUGCUCCAACAAGCUCAGAUGCUUCCAGUCACCGAAAAGGCCACCAAGGAGAAGCUCCAGACUCCGAAGCAAUCGCCAAUGCCAGGCACUCCGGAAAAUACGUCGCUCCCACCGUCCUUGAUUAAGAAGAAGAAGAAGGAGUCGACAUCGGAACAAGCAGCGCCGGAAGCGGUCGUCACUGUGGACAAGCCACACGAUUGA